GUUCCUCUUUCAAUCCUUACUUUUUAGGUCUCAAUUUGCUGUUAUGACAUGGUUUUGACUUGGUGAACUUGCAAGUACUAAGAUAUUAUUAACAUGAUACAUUAGUUUAGGAUGGCUGAUGUUGUGCUUGUUGUAUUGUGCUAUACUUCUAUUGUUUCUUUUUCCAUGGUUACAACCUCAAAUUUUAAGAUGUACGAACCCUCUGUUCACAUUCUUAUGCUUUGAUAUUUUCAUUAAUACAUGCCUGUUGCUAUGGUUUUCCAACUUUUUCCCUUUAUACUUCACUCAGUCUAAGAAAAUGCAAGCAUAUAUAGCCUUAAGGGUAAAAUUUAGUUGUUCCAACUGAUUAUUAGCCAUCCCUAUAUUUCUAUUCUCUAUUAUUGUUUAAGAGAUUUUUGUAUGCAUUUUGGUGCUUGACCUUGUGGAGAAGAGUGAUAAAUUUUCUUGGAGAUACGAUGAGUUCUUAUAUAUUAUUCAUAAAAAGGUUGAAUUGGAGAGUGGAAAUGAAAUCCUUACUCAAAAUGAACUGAAGCAACUAUUUCACAUUGUGAAUAGAACUGCUAGUUUAGGUAUUAUCAAAUAUAAGAGGAAACUGUGCUUGGUUUUGCAUAAGAAAAUGGUAAAACUUGGGGAAGUCCUUUAGAUCUGCUGUUCUUGUGAGUGGCCAAGUAGGUGCAUUAUAAGAAAUGUGUUUCUUUGUGGCUAGCAAGUCCUUGAAGAAUCCUAAAUUAAUUGCAGAAUGAUAGGAUCAGUUAGAAAAUCAUCAUUCUUGGAUGAUUCAUUACUUGUUUUGGACUUAGUCUCUUACUGCAGAAAGGGCAUAUGUUGGUCUUUGAUCAAUAAGCAUUUGCUUGGAGAAUAUCCAUUUUGUUGAAACAUGUUAUGGGGUUUAUCUUAGAAGGAAAGUGAUGUUUCAACGUGUUCAUGGUAUGCUCCUUGCAACUUCUGUAAUGCCCUCUUUGGAUAGGGUGAUUUGGACGUAAGGAUUUGGAUUUGGACUUUCCAAAUACAAAUAACUCCGAUUGACAAACCUUUUUAAUUGAGAAUUUGGAUUUGAGUAAAUCACCCCUCAGAUUUGGUAAACAAUUGUGCCACCUAGUUAUUUCACAUCUCAGCUUCUUCUCUUUCCCGAACAGAGAAGCUCGGUCUCGUUCCACAUCUUCUCUCAAUGCAUUGCACAGCUUCGGCAAACAUCUCUGCACCGAUUCGUGAAGGAGGUCUCUCACUCUUCUCACAAUUAAAUCAGUGGGUAACCGGAUUAUCCGGAAGAGGAUCCAUGGGCAUGUAGAGCACGGGCAGCCAUCAAGGUGC
RNAcentral lists this long non-coding RNA (1311 nucleotides) under Rosa chinensis. RNAcentral describes it as "sRNA RchiOBHm_Chr4g0408331". The record is from RNAcentral. Lineage: Eukaryota; Viridiplantae; Streptophyta; Magnoliopsida; Rosales; Rosaceae.